RNAcentral lists this ribosomal RNA (764 nucleotides) under uncultured marine dictyochophyte. RNAcentral describes it as "bacterial SSU rRNA". It matches the Rfam family "Bacterial small subunit ribosomal RNA", at positions 538 to 1317 of the family's 1533-position model. Lineage: Eukaryota; Dictyochophyceae. The record is from RNAcentral.
GUGUUAUCCGGAAUCACUGGGCGUAAAGCGUCUGUAGGUGGUUUAGUAAGUCUAUUGUUAAAGCUUGAGGCUCAACUUCAAAUCAGCGAUGGAAACUGCUAGACUAGAGUGUGGUAGAGGUAAGAGGAAUUUCCAGUGGAGCGGUGAAAUGCGUAGAUAUUGGAAAGAACACCGAUGGCGAAGGCAUCUUACUGGGCCAUAACUGACACUCAGAGACGAAAGCUAGGGUAGCAAAUGGGAUUAGAUACCCCAGUAGUCCUAGCAGUAAACGAUGGAUACUAGAUGUUGCCCGUAUCAACCCGUGCAGUGUCAAAGCUAACGCGUUAAGUAUCCCGCCUGGGAAGUAUGCACGCAAGUGUGAAACUCAAAGGAAUUGACGGGGGCCCGCACAAGCGGUGGAGCAUGUGGUUUAAUUUGAUGCAACGCGAAGAACCUUACCAGGGUUUGACAUGACAUGAAUUUUUCUGAGAAGAAAAAGUGCCUUUUAGGAACACGUACACAGGUGGUGCAUGGCUGUCGUCAGCUCGUGUCGUGAGAUGUUGGGUUAAGUCCCGCAACGAGCGCAACCCUUGUUUUUAGUUAUUUUUCUAGAAAGACUGCCGGUUAUAAGCCGGAGGAAGGCGGGGACGACGUCAAGUCAGCAUGCCCCUUAUACCCUGGGCUACACACGUGCUACAUUGGGUAAGACAAUGAGUCGCGAGCCUGUGAAGGUCAGCAAAUCUAUAAACUUACUCUAAGUUCGGAUUGUAGGCUGCAACUCGUCU